Molecule: long non-coding RNA, 265 nt
Organism: Melospiza melodia melodia
Lineage: Eukaryota; Metazoa; Chordata; Aves; Passeriformes; Passerellidae
Exons: 3
Source: RefSeq, a predicted model, not a curated record
GCCUACUUACUCACUGAAUGUGGCUAAGAUGCUCAGGAGUUUCCAGUAUACCCACCCACUUGAGAUAAGAUUCACAGACUCUUUAGUGCAGUCCUGAUUUCUGUAUUAAUGAAUUGAGAAGAUGACAUCAGGCUCUUAGCACUGCAGAGUUUUCCCUGCCAUCCUGGCUGAUGUACAGCACAAGCAGCUCUCUGUGAUGGUAAUUGACAGUGAUCUUUGUCAGCCCCACACAGGAUCAGGCAUUAAGAGAACAACCCUUGCUGGA